CUCGGCCCCCCCCAGUUGUUGGUGAGGUAACGGCUCACCAAGGCGACGACGGGUAGCCGGCCUGAGAGGGCGACCGGCCACACUGGGACUGAGACACGGCCCAGACUCCUACGGGAGGCAGCAGUGGGGAAUAUUGCACAAUGGGCGAAAGCCUGAUGCAGCGACGCCGCGUGAGGGAUGACGGCCUUCGGGUUGUAAACCUCUUUCAGCAGGGAAGAAGCGAAAGUGACGGUACCUGCAGAAGAAGCGCCGGCUAACUACGUGCCAGCAGCCGCGGUAAUACGUAGGGCGCAAGCGUUGUCCGGAAUUAUUGGGCGUAAAGAGCUCGUAGGCGGCUUGUCACGUCGGGUGUGAAAGCCCGGGGCUUAACCCCGGGUCUGCAUCCGAUACGGGCAGGCUAGAGUGUGGUAGGGGAGAUCGGAAUUCCUGGUGUAGCGGUGAAAUGCGCAGAUAUCAGGAGGAACACCGGUGGCGAAGGCGGAUCUCUGGGCCAUUACUGACGCUGAGGAGCGAAAGCGUGGGGAGCGAACAGGAUUAGAUACCCUGGUAGUCCACGCCGUAAACGUUGGGAACUAGGUGUUGGCGACAUCCACGUCGUCGUGCCGCAGCUACGCAUUGU
Molecule: ribosomal RNA, 619 nt
Filed under: Streptomyces sp. Y45(2010)
Lineage: Bacteria; Bacillati; Actinomycetota; Actinomycetes; Kitasatosporales; Streptomycetaceae
Description: bacterial SSU rRNA
Rfam family: Bacterial small subunit ribosomal RNA
Source: RNAcentral